CCUACGUGAGGCAGCAGUGGGGAAUAUUGCACAAUGGGGGAAACCCUGAUGCAGCGACGCCGCGUGAGUGAAGAAGUAUUUCGGUAUGUAACGCUCUAUCAGCAGGGAAGAAAAUGACGGUACCUGAUUAAGAAGCCCCGGCUAACUACGUGCCAGCAGCCGCGGUAAUACGUAGGGGGCAAGCGUUAUCCGGAUUUACUGGGUGUAAAGGGAGCGUAGACGGCAGCGCAAGUCUGAAGUGAAAUGCCGGGGCUUAACCCCGGAACUGCUUUGGAAACUGUGCAGCUAGAGUGCAGGAGAGGUAAGUGGAAUUCCUAGUGUAGCGGUGAAAUGCGUAGAUAUUAGGAAGAACACCAGUGGCGAAAGCGGCUCUCUGGUCUGUAACUGACGCUGAGGUUCGAAAGCGUGGGUAGCAAACAGGAUUAGAUACCCUAGUAGUC
This 440-nucleotide ribosomal RNA is filed under the name uncultured bacterium. Its description in RNAcentral is "partial 16S ribosomal RNA". It matches the Rfam family "Bacterial small subunit ribosomal RNA", at positions 338 to 795 of the family's 1533-position model. The record is from RNAcentral.